GCAAGUCGUGCGACAGACCAGGAAUUGAUUACUUCGGUUUGAUUUUCCUGACGAUGAGCGGCGAACGGGUGCGUAACACGUGAGAAACCUGCCCUUAAGUUCGGGAUAGCCCUACGAAAGUAGGAUUAAUACCGAAUGUGGCCAAGGAAGGGCAUCUUCCCUUGGCUAAAGCUCGGUUAUAGAGCGCUUUUGGAUGGUCUCGCGGUCUAUCAGCUUGUUGGUGAGGUAACGGCUCACCAAGGCUCUGACGGAUAGCUGGUCUGAGAGGAUGAUCAGUCACACUGGAACUGAGACACGGUCCAGACACCUACGGGUGGCAGCAGUCGAGAAUCAUUCACAAUGGGCGCAAGCCUGAUGGUGCGACGCCGCGUGGGGGAUGAAGGGCUUCGGUUCGUAAACCCCUGUCAUCUGUGAGUAAGGCUCCCAAUAAAAGCUUGGGAGAUUGAUAUUAGCAGAAGAGGAAGGGACGGCUAACUCAGUGCCAGCAGCCGCGGUAAUACUGAGGUCCCAAGCGUUGUUCGGAUUUACUGGGCGUAAAGGGUGCGUAGGCGGCUAGAAAAGUUUGGUGUGAAAUCUCCGGGCUCAACCCGGAAACUGCAUUGAAAACUAGAUAGCUAGAGGAUCGGAGAGGAGAUUGGAAUUCUCGGUGUAGCAGUGAAAUGCGUAGAUAUCGAGAGGAACACCAGUUGCGAAGGCGGAUCUCUGGACGGUUCCUGACGCUGAGGCACGAAAGCUGGGGUAGCGAAGAGGAUUAGAUACCCUCGUAGUCCCAGCCGUAAACGGUGCGCACUUGCUGUGGGCGGAUUCGACCCCGUCCGUGGCGAAGCUAACGCGUUAAGUGCGCCGCCUGGGGAGUACGGUCGCA
This 865-nucleotide ribosomal RNA is filed under the name Verrucomicrobia bacterium SCGC AAA007-L17. RNAcentral describes it as "SSU rRNA". It matches the Rfam family "Bacterial small subunit ribosomal RNA", at positions 57 to 890 of the family's 1533-position model. The record is from RNAcentral. Lineage: Bacteria; Pseudomonadati; Verrucomicrobiota.